GACUACAUGAAGCUGGAAUCGCUAGUAAUCGCGAAUCAGAAUGUCGCGGUGAAUACGUUCCCGGGCCUUGUACACACCGCCCGUCACACCAUGGGAGUCGGUAACACCCGAAGCCGAUAGUCUAACGAAAGAGGACGUCGUCGAAGGUGGGAUUGAUGACUGGGGUGAAGUCGUAACAAGGUACC
Molecule: ribosomal RNA, 185 nt
Filed under: uncultured bacterium
Lineage: Bacteria
Description: partial 16S ribosomal RNA
Rfam family: Bacterial small subunit ribosomal RNA
Source: RNAcentral